RNAcentral lists this unclassified non-coding RNA (219 nucleotides) under Hevea brasiliensis (rubber tree). Lineage: Eukaryota; Viridiplantae; Streptophyta; Magnoliopsida; Malpighiales; Euphorbiaceae. The record is from RNAcentral.
GCGAACGGGAGCGGCGCGAAAACCCUCCCUCCGUGCUGCCUCAAAGCCUUGGCGUCGGCGGCGGAGUCGGAGGCCAAGUGCCACGAGACCGUGGUCUCCGGCUGGCUCUCGGAACCUUCCGAUAAAGGCGGCAAGUUCUUCUACUUCAAUAACCCUAUGUGGCCUGGAGAGGCUCAUUCGUUGAAAGUGGAGAAGAUUUUGUAUCGAGGGAAAUCACAG